RNAcentral lists this unclassified non-coding RNA (310 nucleotides) under plant metagenome. RNAcentral's name for it is "partial contains 5.8S ribosomal RNA, internal transcribed spacer 2, and large subunit ribosomal RNA". The stretch from base 1 to 105 matches the Rfam family "5.8S ribosomal RNA", at positions 50 to 154 of the family's 154-position model. The record is from RNAcentral.
GAAAUGCGAUAAGUAGUGUGAAUUGCAGAAUUCAGUGAAUCAUCGAAUCUUUGAACGCACAUUGCGCCCCUUGGUAUUCCAUGGGGCAUGCCUGUUCGAGCGUCAUUUGUACCCUCAAGCUCUGCUUGGUGUUGGGUGUUUGUCCCCGUCUCCGCGCGUGGACUCGCCCCAAAGUGAUUGGCAGCCGGCGUACUGGUCCCGGAGCGCAGCACAUGUCGCGCAAACGAGUGCCUUGGUACGGCGGCGUCCAUAAGCCCCUCUCUCACGCUCUUGACCCCGGAUCAGGUAGGGAUACCCUCUGAACUUAAGC